GAGAAUCAUCAUAAAACGCAAACCUGGUUGGUUUCCCCAAAACAAAUGGGACUGAACGGCUCCAAAGCAAAGUACGGUACCGUGCCGACUGGAUUC
This 96-nucleotide ribosomal RNA is filed under the name Rhodomonas abbreviata. RNAcentral describes it as "partial Eukaryotic small subunit ribosomal RNA". The record is from RNAcentral. Lineage: Eukaryota; Cryptophyceae; Pyrenomonadales; Pyrenomonadaceae.